Molecule: unclassified non-coding RNA, 253 nt
Filed under: uncultured Alteromonadales bacterium
Lineage: Bacteria; Pseudomonadati; Pseudomonadota; Gammaproteobacteria; Alteromonadales
Description: contains 16S-23S intergenic spacer region
Rfam family: Bacterial small subunit ribosomal RNA
Source: RNAcentral
UACGGAGGGUGCAAGCGUUAAUCGGAAUUACUGGGCGUAAAGCGCACGCAGGCGGUUUGUUAAGCUAGAUGUGAAAGCCCCGGGCUCAACCUGGGAUGGUCAUUUAGAACUGGCAGACUAGAGUCUUGGAGAGGGGAGUGGAAUUCCAGGUGUAGCGGUGAAAUGCGUAGAUAUCUGGAGGAACAUCAGUGGCGAAGGCGGCCCCCUGGACAAAGACUGACGCUCAGGUGCGAAAGCGUGGGGAGCAAACAGG